This 232-nucleotide long non-coding RNA is filed under the name Setaria italica (foxtail millet). RNAcentral describes it as "long non-coding RNA (SITA_LNC003470)". The record is from RNAcentral. Lineage: Eukaryota; Viridiplantae; Streptophyta; Magnoliopsida; Poales; Poaceae.
ACAAACCCGCUUUUUGAGUGACAAAUUAUAAGGGACGGAGGAAGUAGCUUGCGACUGAUCAGCACACAAUAUCACUGUCAACGUGUCAGCUAGCGCCUAGCAGUAAUUGGCUCUCCUGACCUUGCACGCGGAUCAAUGGCACUCUGGCGCUGGGCUUUUGUUUCUUAAAGCAACCGAUCGCGUCGCUGUUCGUUUGAACACCACAACAAGUCGCGGGUUACCGUGGAAUGAG